CGGGGAAGAACCCUAUUCGCCAAGGUAAGGACUCAUUCGCAUUCUAGCCGCCGCGCCUAACCAACGUCUCCCUACGACUCUUAUUGGGGAUGCUGUUGCAAAGGUGUCAUCUUCCGUCGGAGAGUAAAAUAUGGGAGCAACAAGAGGCAGUUUUCCCCAUAGCUCCCAUAGCUUUGGUGUCGUCUUCGUAACAUCGUUAAUAUUGGCGACUUGCAGCGCCAACACCGGGACAUCAAAUGGCCUGACGUGGUGGGGCGUCGAGAGCUUCCUCAGGGAAAACGUUAAUGGACGACUGGGUGCGGAGCGGCUGCAGGAGUAUUUACACAAGGAAUUCCGUUGGGAGAACAGAGAGGUCGACGGGAGAGAGACACUGAACAAGAAAAGGGACGCUGCAACGAACCUUUUUCAGAGCACGAUCACCAAUUUGCAGAGACUCAGAGCGACCAUUGAGGCGAAUUACGAAGACUGGCCUACCGUCGCCCGUGAAAAUAUAUCUGACCACGUACUCUGUUGUGGAGAGCCACCUCCCACAGGUUGCACGAUCUUGUCCACGAGGCUGGACCGAAGGGCGUUAGUCCGCGCAGGGAACCCCCCGGACCCCGUGCUGAGACAUCUCGAGAGAAUGACCAUUUUCAACGUGACCAAUUAUUUCGUCUUCGAUGACGGGAGUUUGUUCGUGCGCUCUCCGAAACGAAAGGAACAUGUGGAUGUUUGUGAAAAUUAUGAUCCUAGGUCAAGGCACUUCUACAGGCAGGCUAGAUCUCCCGAGCCGCGAGAUGUGGUUGUGGUCACGGACGGCGAGAAAAGAGGGGGCCUGCUGCUUGAACACGCCAUCUCCAAAGUCUACAUGGAACUCACGUCCAUAGACCGAAUCAGCCUGUGCCUCCCCUACAAAGACUCCUGCCAAACCAGCAAGUGGUACCGGGAGUCGGAGCAAAUAGACGGGCCCCUCGGCCAGAAGGGCUUCCUCGGCCGCCUGCUCUUCAACAACAAAUACAACAGGGAGAAGCUGAUCAAACUUCUGGAGGAAACAAACUAUGUCCCCUUCAGUAACCACUCGGCGGCACUGAAAGCGGGGACAGACCUGCUGAGGAAUCGAUAUGGGUCUCGGUACUUUGAGAUAGCCGGACAUUCCCACAGCGUCCUGGUCUACGUGACGAAGAGCUGCUGGGAGAAGUGGAAGGAAAACAAACAAAUCAAUUCCUCGCUCGACCUCGGGAUUUCCAUUGUGAUUAUCCACCUCCACGAUGAUGGAGCAUGUGGCGUGGAGAAGGGAGUGGUAUUGAAGAGGAAUAACGCCACAGUCACGUUCUCUUCGUUUAAGGACUUGGAGGAGUUACGUGCGUCCGAAAUCGGGAUUGCUAGUUAUGGCCUGAUGGACGUGAAUCGACCUGUCAUUCCUGUACCUUACUGGGACGCGUUUGGGGACGGUUACAUCAUCACGGUCUGUGUCCAUCUCAUGCACAGAGCCUCGUUCGUGGGCGUCGCCUGCUCCGAUUUGAGCAUCGUCAACUUGCUCGAAGCGGAACUCAACGUUGAUGACGUCAAGGACGGUUACGUCUUCCUCGUGGACCGCUUCGGCAGGGCACUGAAGCACCCCCUGCUCCCCGAGGUCCACUCUCUGACCGAUGACCCGACCUCCGUGACGAUUGACAAGCUCGAAAUCGCUCCCGAGGUCAGGCACAUUCUCGUCAAGGCGGUCAGGCAAGAAUCGGGGAAUGAGCGCAUAUCAGGGUUGUACGUCGAGUCCCUGGGUUACCCGCGGGGCAUCGACAUUCCGAAGGCCGUCCGCGUGCGUCGACGGUCCCUUCACUACCUGUGGGCGCCCAUCUACGAUACAGGCCUCACCCUUGCCGUCGUUCUUCCCCUGAAUGAUAGUUCGCAGGUAGUCUCCUCGGUGUACAGCUGCAAGUCGCAGGAUCAAUGCACGACCAGCCAUUUCGAAUACAACGAACCUAGAGAUCAUUUUGAAAGAGAAUUCUGCAAUUUCUUUGGUAAAAAUGUUACCAAGAGUAAGGCACUGGUCAAAUUCGCCCCGGACUGUUUCAUAGACGUUUUAGCUUACGUCCGCGGGGAGAUCGAUCCAGCGUUGGUCUAUGCUAUCUUCAACAGGACUCAGCCCUAUGAUAGUGUGUUCAGGGAGGACCUGAUGCCGAGCGUGAAAUUCCUGGAGUUCGCCGAAGAGACAUGGAAGAGCAACCUGGCCGCCAAAGUGCACGAAGGGAUUCGCUACUUAGGCACAGAGGACGGCAGCUUCAUAACCUUCCAGGGGAUUGAACUCGAGCAGACGUUCGACCAUAGGGAUCGGUCAUGGUACCAGGCAGCCCUGCCGACCCCCUCCACAAUCUCCAUAACGACCCCCUACUGCGACGGCGGCAUGGGGAUGGUGUGCACGAUGUCCAAGACCCUUUACAACAAGCUGGGGCAUCCUCAGGCGGUGGUGGCUGGGGACUUCAAGCUACAGUACAUGGCGGCGCACUUCCUCGACCGCGUCCCUUACUGCAAGAGUCAGACCUGUCUUCUAGUGGACCCUAUGGGCUUCGUGGUUCUCAAGUCAGACUGGGAGGGACGGUUUUACAACGGGUGUCGCGGCGAGAGAGAGAUCGUAGGAUCCCACAUCAACUUCGUGGCGCCAGACAUUGCACGUGACCUGAUCGCCGAAAAAUACCUGAGGCGUAGGGCGUGCCACGAGUACGACAGGGACUCCACGUACUACUACUGGACGCUCGCCUUCCCCGCCUUCCGCACGUUUCACGAGGGACCCAGCUACGGCAUCCACAAGAUUGCGGAUGCGAAUCUCUUCCUCGCUUAUCGCACCCAGGGAUCGAACAUCAUUCCUUGCAACUGCAACCCUUAUCCGGCAUCAUCUCCCAGCCUGUAAGCCCCGCGGCCCAACGUUGAAGACCAAACAGAACUACAAUAAUCAGACUCCGAGUGCCCAGUCUGGAAUUCGAGACUGCAGUGAGGUCACCUAAUGUUCCUGGUCAGAAGGAGAAUCAAAAAUGCAGAUGAUGUCCGCGAUACAGAAUACGUUUUCUUAAAUAUAACUUUAAAUACAUAAACUCAACGACACAAUUACACACUGGUCACAUUACCAAUGUAAACUGUAAAAUCGACUACAGGUCUUUUGCAUAUGGACAUUGGCAACACGUAUAUACCAAGAACAAAGAUACGAAUAUAUUGUGAAGUUUCCGAACCCUUCCCCCAUCCUGUAACGUAACCUCUUGCCUUCUUCUUCCCCUUAUGCUCCUCAUCACCCUUGCUUCCCUUAGUCUCUCCUAAGCUUCCCUUUUACUUUAGUCUCACCUUAUACCUUUUCCCCAUCCUUUUCCACUCCCCUCUCUCUCUUCUUCUUCUUCUUCUUCUUCUCCUCCUCCUCCUCCACCUCCUCCUCCUCCUCCUCCUCCUCCUCCUCCUCCUCCUCCUCCUCCUCCUCCUCCUCCUCCUCCUCCUCCUCACGUACCAUCCUCCCGAAACCUGUACCCUAUUUACUCUACCUGCUAUAUUCCGUCUCUUCUAACUACCUUCUUUCUCUCACUUCUUCCUCGUUCAUUUCUUUCGUUCCCUUUCCUCUUUCAUUUUCCUCUUUCCCUUCCUAAUCUUACGUUCAUUCUUUACUUUCUACCAUGCUAAUCUCCUUACUUUCUACCAUGCUAAUCUCCUCGUUUUCUCGUGUCCUCCUCUUCCCCGUUCCUUCGUUAUGCUAUCUUAUCCUUUCCUCUCGUUUUCUUUCUCUCAUUCACUUCUUUGGUUCAUUUUUACCCGUUCUACCUGUUUACCCAAACUUUUUACUGUUAUUUAUUGUUAAUUAAAACUGCUGUCUCAUAAAAUAUUCUUAAAUAAGUGUAUCUUUGUUUGGUUUAGAUAACUGUUGCCACAAUGACGUGGAUCAGCCUAGAUAAAUACUGGUAGAGAAUAAACCCAUGCUGGAGUUGCCUCUGAA
Molecule: unclassified non-coding RNA, 3943 nt
Filed under: Penaeus chinensis
Lineage: Eukaryota; Metazoa; Arthropoda; Malacostraca; Decapoda; Penaeidae
Description: vWFA and cache domain-containing protein 1-like, transcript variant X2
Source: RNAcentral